RNAcentral lists this long non-coding RNA (2333 nucleotides) under Homo sapiens (human). RNAcentral describes it as "HSALNT0359481". The record is from RNAcentral. Lineage: Eukaryota; Metazoa; Chordata; Mammalia; Primates; Hominidae.
CCGAGUAGCUGGGAUUACAGAUGCCUGCCACCACACCCGGCUAAUUUUUGUGCUUUUAGUGAAGACGGGUUUCACCAUGUUGGCCAGGCUGGCCUCGAACUCCUGACCUCAUGAUCCACCCGCCUCGACCUCCCAAAGUGCUGGGAUUACAGGCAUGAGCCACUGCGCCUGGCCAAACUUUUUAUUUUUAGAUAAUUAUAGAUUCCCAUGCAACUUUAAGAACUAAUACAAAGGGAUCCCAUGUACCCAUGAGCCAGUUUUCCCCAAUGGCAACAUCUUACAAAACUGUAGAAUAAUUUCAUAGUCUGGAUAUUGACCUUGAUACAGUCAAGACACAGAAUAUUUCUGUCCCUACAAGGAUCCCUCAUGUCAUCCUCUUAUAGCCAUGCCUACUCACAUUUGCCUUCACAGGCUCCUUAACCUCUAGCAACCACACAUACAUUCACCAUUUUAUAAUUUUGUCAGUUCAAGAGUAUACUAUAUGGAAUCACAUGGUAUAUAACUUUUGGGGAUUGGCUUUUUUCCACUCAGCAUAAUUCUCUGGAUAUUCAUCCAGGUUGUUUGUUGCAUGUAUCAAUAGUUAAUUCCUUUUUAUUUCUGAGUAGGAUACCAUGGUAUUGCCGUACCACAGCAUGUUUAUUUAUUAUUUAUUUAUUGAGACAGGGUCUUGCCCUGUCACCGGGGAUGAGUGCAGUGGCAGGAUCAUUGCUCAUUGCAGCCUCAACCUCCUGGCUCAAGCAAUCCUCCCAGCUUAUCCUCCCAAGUAGCUGGGACAACAGGUGCACACCAACACACCUGGCUAAUUCUUUUUUAUUUUUAGUAGAGACAAGGUCUCGCUAUGUUGCCCAGGCUGGUCUCAAACUCCUGGUCUCAAGCCAUCUUUCCUCAGCCUCCCAAAGUGCUGGGAUUACAGGCAUGAGCCACCACGGCUGGCCCCCCACAGUAUGUUUAACCAUUCACCUGUUGAAGAACAGCUGGGUUAUCUUCAGUUUUUGGCUAUUAAAAGCUGCCAUGGGAAGGGAGCAGUGGCUCACACCUGUAAUCCCAGCACUUUGGGAGGCCGAGGCGGGCAGAUCACCUGAGGUCAGGAGUUUGAGACCAGCCUGGCCAACAUGGUGAAACUCCGUCUCUACUAAAAAUACAAAAAUUAGCUGGGCAUGGUGGUGCACAUCUGUAAUCCCAGCUGCUCGAGUGGCUGAGCAAGAGAAUCGCUUGAAUGCGGCAGGUGGAGGUUGCAGCGAGCCAAGAUUGUGCCACUGCACUCCAGCCUGGGUGACAGAGUGAGACUCCGUCUCAAUAAAUAAAUAAAUAAAAGCUGCCAUGAACAUUCAUGAACAGGUUUUCGUGUGUCCAUAAGUUUUCAUUUUUCUGGGAUCGAUACACAGCAGUACAAAUGGUGGGUCAUAGGGUAGUGGUAUGUUUCAUUUUCUGAGAAACUGCUGGCUGGGUGUGGUGGCUCACGCCUGUAACCCCAUCAUUUUGGGAGGCUGAGGGGGGUCGAAUGCUUGAGCCCAGGAGUUCAAGACCAGCCUGCGCAACAUGGGGAGACUGUCUCUACAAAAAAUAUAGAAAAUUAGAUAGAUGCGGUGGCAUGCACCUGUGGUCCCACGACUUGGGAGGCUGAGGCAGAAGGGAAGAUCCCUUGAAUCUGGGAGGUUGAGGCUGCAGUGAGCUGUGAUUUUGCCACUGCACUCCAGCCUGGGCUACAGAGUGAGAUCCUGUCUCAAAAAAAAAAAACAAAAAACCAAAACAAACAAAAAACAAACCCGAAACAAACAAACAAAAACCCAGAAACAAACCUGCUAAACCUUUCCAGAGCAGCUGUACUAUUUUAAAUUUACACUGAUGUAAACGUAUGAGUGAUCUAGUUUUUCUGCAGCUUUGCCAGCAUUUGUUGUGACUAUUUUUUAUUUUAGCCAUUCUGAUAGAUGUAUAGUACAGAUGUAUGGUACAAAUUAAAACCGUCUCAUUGUGGUUUUAAUUUGCAUUUCUCUGAUGGCUAAUGCUAUUGAACGUUUUUUUCAUGUAUUUAUUUGCUAUCUGUAUAUCCUUUUCAGUCAACUAUCUAUAUUUCUUACGCAUUUUGAAAUUGGAUUGUUCUUUUGACUGUUGAAUUUUAGUUCUUUAUAGCUUCUAAAUACUAGUCCUUUGUUAGACAUGUGGCUUGUAAAUAUCUUUUCCCAGUCUACAGCUUGUCGUUUCAUUACCUUAAUAGGUCUUUUGCAGAGCAAGUUUUACAUUUUGAUGAAGUACAAUUUAUCAACAUUUUCUUUUACGGAUCAUGCUUUUGGUGUCAAGUCUAAUAACUCUUAAAGAGUUCUGGGCAUGGUGGC